Molecule: non-coding RNA, 254 nt
Organism: Cinara cedri
Lineage: Eukaryota; Metazoa; Arthropoda; Insecta; Hemiptera; Aphididae
Source: the annotation of a GenBank genome assembly
CCUUAUUAUAUACUUCUUUGUAGGUAAGUUUUAUCUCCGAAAAUCAUUGGUAGGGAAACUACUCGUUUUCGUUUUAAAACAAUUUGCGCCCCUAUUUUGAAAAUAUUACCACUGUAAUAUAAUAUUUUUUAUACAUAUUUUGACCGGUCAGUAGACUUUUUGUGCUAGUCAACUUGGUGCGCUCCCACCUGAACGAAAUAUUAUUUAACGCGGGAACGCCCGCCCGUCAUCCUCGGAAUUGAAAACGCGGCGCA